CCCACUUAACAGAAAUUAAAAUUGUAGGAGAAAACACAGGGGUGUUGCAGAAUUGAUUCACAGGACACAACUUGAAGAUGCAGUAACCACAGAACUGUUUUUUGGUUUUUUGGUUUGUUUUUUUUCUUUUAGGUCCUUUCUCUUAAGGAUCUAAAAGAAAAGGGAAGGAAGAAAGGGGGUUGUUAUGGAAUUCAAAACCAUCCCGUUAAUUAUUGAGCCACUCUGGACACUGCAGCUGGAGGUUGGGAUUCCAGGAAGGUAGAAUGAAAUCAGAACAGUCCAGACAACAAGAAAAAACUUCUCUCAUCAUCAUUGAGAAAGACAAAUGUCCCCUUAAUAUGAAAUCUGAAAUAUAACCGGUGACAUUAGAGUUUCAAGCAGGAAAUUGGAGGUGCUAAUAAGGAAACAUGAGAAGCAAUGCACUUCUCUUAAGCCAAAAGGACACCUAAACAGGCAGCAAGAAGGAGGUGUGAAGGAUUAGGAGCCCUGGGACCCUUUGAAAGGAAGUUUAAUAAUCCAGCACUGCCCAUCCGGUGAGGCUGCCCAAGGGAAGCAGCUCCCUGCUGAACAAGGAACUGCUUCAAGUUCUGUAUGAGCCAGGCAAGCUCAAGAAAUUCACCCUGGUCUUUUUCACAGGAGUGGAUUCAAGCCUUGCACACCCAACCAAAAUAAAUGAGGGCUGUGCUUGGGGUUGGCACACCUGCCUGGGCUCAUGGGAGCUCAGUGAAUUCCAAGGAAUAUUCCAAAAUUCCAACAACCAAGGAAUCAGCUGCUGGACAGUGCUGGCAGGAGCAAUGCCACCAGUUAAGGGUGGGAUGCGUCCUUUGCAUCCUUUCUCAUUUUCUUUCAAUGGACAGAGUUGUCCAGCUGGAAAAGAAUGGUGUGAAUUCCACCUUCCCUGAGGGAAAACACACCUCAGCUGCUGUCAACACUUGUGAUUUAUAACCAAAGCCUUUGGACAUUUAGUGGGUUUCUCAAAGCCUGCACUCCUGGAGUCAAGUGUGUCUGAGACCUGCAUCUUUCUCACUCUCAAGGAGAGCUCCUGGCCUUUGAGUUUAUAGAAAAAUUUGAAAGCAGAACUGUUAAAAUGUCAAAGUGAAGGAGUAAAACAGCAGAACAACAUAAACAAAGUGGAAGGAAACAUUCCUCCAAAUGUCUGUGUUUAAUUUUCCUGACUUUCAUGCCAACCUCCAGGUUUUGGGUGCCUGACUCCUGAAUAUUGGAGCACUUCCAGUUGACAGCACAACAGCCUGGCACAGACAUCAGUAUAACCCAGUCCAGCAGCUGCCAGAAGUGACAGGGAAUGUUCACAUUCCUUUUCUUGUUUCUGAAGAGCAGAAGGAAAAGACAACCAAAGAAACGAACUGCAGGGAUGCAGGAAAUGCAGGGGUUGAACUGGGAACCUUCUCUCCAGCCACAUAGAGAAGUAUCUGGAUUUUCUCCAAAAGCAAAAUCCACACUCCAAACCUCACUGCUGUUUAUUACACGUGACAAAGGAGUGGGAAAAGCACAGGCAGGACUGUGGAAACCUGGAAGUGACAGUGAUUUCAUCAGGGAGAAGUCCCACAAGGCAGGAAGGGACCUGCAGUGUUUGCCAUUCCUCCCAUCACAGACAGAGCUGCACACCUGCCUCCAACUGACCAGGACUCACCUUGAAGAUAAUCUGGAUUUCUCACACUGCACCACCACGGGAAGGUCCCCCUGGAACUGUGUUACCCUAAAGCUCCUCAACUCCAGCUGACAUUCUCCCAUCCAGUUUGUGCCCUGUGCUGGUGUUUAACCUCACUCACACAGAGAGGUCUCCUGGACAGGAGGUUUUCCAGGUGUUCAAAUCCCUCCAUCCUUGCAGCAAUAUUCCAUCCACUCCCAGGAUUCCAUCCUCAGAAUGUGCCUGCCGAAGUCCUAUUUCCCCGUGACCCAGCCGCUGACAAGGAAGGAGGGUGGAGAUGUGUUUUGCCAGGUUUGCUUCCUUCCCCUGUGCCUCCUGCUGCUCCUGCCUGUCCCACAGUGAUGGAUGGCUAUUGGUUCUGGCUUCAUCCCACGGAGAGAUCUGUCACCUCAUGCCAGGGAGAGGUGACAGCAAAUCCAUCAGCAUGGAGACAGCACUCAGUGGCAGAUUGCUUUCAAGGCCACUGGGGGCUGGAUUCUUCUUUGCCUCCCACCUCUCUGGUUCCUCUCCUCCCCUGUUUUACACAGGUCUUAGUAAAUCUUCAUUUGAACAAA
Cyanistes caeruleus (blue tit) is the source of this 2223-nucleotide non-coding RNA. NCBI's taxonomy places the organism in Eukaryota, Metazoa, Chordata, Aves, Passeriformes, Paridae. The record is from RefSeq and is a predicted model, not a curated record.